This 385-nucleotide ribosomal RNA is filed under the name uncultured bacterium. RNAcentral describes it as "bacterial SSU rRNA". It matches the Rfam family "Bacterial small subunit ribosomal RNA", at positions 28 to 419 of the family's 1533-position model. The record is from RNAcentral.
GACGAACGCUGGCGGCGUGCUUAACACAUGCAAGUCGAACGGUGAAGCCUUUCGGGGUGGAUCAGUGGCGAACGGGUGAGUAACACGUGGGCAACCUGCCCCUGACUUCGGGAUAAGCCCGGGAAACCGGGUCUAAUACCGGAUAUGAUCACGUCCCGCAUGGGGUGUGGUGGAAAGUUUUUCGUCAGGAUGGCUCGCGGCCUAUCAGCUUGUUGGGUGGGGUGAUGGCCUACCAAGGCGACGACGGGUAGCCGGCCUGAGAGGGCGACCGGCCACACUGGGACUGAGACACGGCCCAGACUCCUACGGGAGGCAGCAGGUGGGGAAUAUUGCGCAAUGGGCGAAAGCCUGACGCAGCGACGCCGCGUGAGGGAUGAAGGCCUUC